Long non-coding RNA from Branchiostoma floridae (Florida lancelet), 1377 nucleotides. RefSeq lists it as uncharacterized. The transcript is spliced from 3 exons. The record is from RefSeq and is a predicted model, not a curated record. Lineage: Eukaryota; Metazoa; Chordata; Leptocardii; Amphioxiformes; Branchiostomatidae.
AUAGUUGUAAAAGUGACACCAAUAUGGAAGCCACGAGUGUGGUUACCAACUUUGUUGGUGAUGCCAGUCUACCACACUAGUGUCACUUUUACCACACCGGUACACGUAUUAAAUGCAGGAAUAAAUGCCUCGUUACCUCUGAUACCAUGUUUUGUCCCUUUAAUUCUUUUUACAACAGUCAUCACAACUUUAUGGUGCCUAUUUUUGAAAAUGUAGCCGUCUUGUUUUUUUUUUCACCCAUCUUGUUUUUUUCGCCCUAUCGCACUAUUUUUGCAGUCUGCAGAGGAUGUCAUCCAUAAAAUUUACUUGCUGUGGCCUGAAUAAAAACUGCUUUGAUGGCUAACUCUUGCGGUUCUUUUACACGAUCUAUGAGAAUGCUUUUCUCUCCGUUUGAGCCCCGCGAGCACGCACUGACAUGUACCUGUAAGUAGUGCGUGCUCGGAGUCAUGUUUGAACCCCGUUUGAGCGUGCGUGCUCCGAGUCAUGUGAUCUUCGUUUUGCUAACUAUGGAUAAGCGUCCCGGGCACUCUGCCCCAAGUUCUCCCGCCUGAUACACACAAAAUGCUGCUAGUCGAAGAGAGUUUUUUUUUCCCGAGGAUACGUUGGUGCACGUAGCCGGGCCAGUAGUUUUGCCUCAAGGUAUCGGGAACACGAGGAACCAUCCCAGCUGACCCAGUUCAGCAGCGGAGGGAUGUAUAUGAAAAGACAACGAACCGCCGAACUUAUCAGUUGAGACGAAACGCGGCUCGGAGAGAUCAUAGCUUCCGAGUGACAACAACGAGGUGUUCCUGACACCCGUACAUAUGUCCAUCAGGACGACGCAGUUCCACCACAACGUGCACAGUCACAGAGAUUCCUACCACAGCAGGGAAAGUUGGUCGAGACCUUCCACUGCAAGUCGGUGAGACGAGCUACAUCGCUGGAUGAGCCGGAAUAGACGUCCGUGUGCCUUUUAUAGUUGGGAAGAAGGGAACCCAGAACAGCGCCGUCGACAGGAGGAAGGCAACGAGAGGAGAGUGCCAGACGAGCAGCAGAUCUAGAGCAGCCAAUCGAUUGCGCUGCUACAACCAUAGUAAACCUGAAACUAUUUAGAGAAUUCACAGACUGGUUUUGAGUUGAUUUAUACCAUGACUAUGUAUUUUAAUGUACCAGGUAUACAUUGUAAAGUAGUAGUUGAUUGUACAUGUAUAUCAAAGAAGCGUAGAACAGCGACGAUGGACCGAAUCAAACCUGAGGUGGAUAUAGUAAUGGAGAAAGCCCCCAUUGGAAUAUCCAUUACAAUUAUUCUGUAUCCAACCUGUGACCGAAGUUAGCGGGGUCAGCAUUAUGUAGUAACGUCAAACACAGUCUCCCGUGCCCAGUGUACGGAAAACCUUG